Molecule: long non-coding RNA, 1957 nt
Filed under: Panax ginseng (ginseng)
Lineage: Eukaryota; Viridiplantae; Streptophyta; Magnoliopsida; Apiales; Araliaceae
Description: long non-coding RNA (PGIN_LNC002866)
Source: RNAcentral
ACAAGCCAAAAAAAAUGUUAAACAAGCAUGAAAAUAAUUAGAACACCAACUCAACACUAUCUGGAAAGUUAGGUACUUAAGAAUACAAAUACAAGCAAGGGUUACACAAGUUAUUAUAUCCUUCAGAAAACUCGUGCUACUGCUUAUCAUUAUUUGUUGCAGAUAUUCCAAGACGAGAUCAUUGCCUUUCCCUUGAAUGUCAAUACAUGAAAGCUUCCGCUAUUUCUUAGGAAUCAAGCCUCCUUCUGAAGGGUUCCCAAGUCUCCCCAUGACAACUGUUUUGCAUAAAAACAAAUUGUAAAAUAUAUUAAUACAUAAUUACAUGUACAUGUGAAUGUGUGAGGUGUGCGGGUUUUUUUUGCGCGCGCGUGGGGGUGGGGAGGGGGGAGAAACACAUUAGAGAUUAUAUUGUUCACACCAUAGAAUUGUGGUAAUUGAUACCCUACUUGGGUAAAAACUGAACCAUCUCCACUAAAAUUAUCUUUCUUUCUCCUCUCUUUGGUGUUAUGUUCCCUUAAUUCUAGGAAACAGCCUCAGCAUUUCAGUUGGGACUUAGACAACGAGGUAUGAUACUUUUAAGUUCAGUGUACUAUAUGACAUUGAAAUGACUAGCUUCUACAUUUAAGUACCAAAAACUUCACCAUGUAAUGCUCUUUACAUAUUACUUGUAUAUAGCUUAAUCAACUAGCACCUGCCUGUUGAAGUAACAAAUAGUCGCACACUUGAGGCGAUGGAGAACAGAAAAAGAAAAUUAAAAGGUUAAUUAUUAAUUUUUUUUGUAUUAUUGUUCAGAGAUAAAUAUUUGAUUUAUGGAAUUAUAUUUAGUAAAGAUAAAGUAUAAUAUACUAGAAUAUGAAUUAAGGUAGUAGAUAAUUGAUAGGUUAACUUUCCUAAUUUUAAAUUAGGGUUUUAUUUGUCCAUUAAGUCUUAGAUAUCUAUAUAAAAAUCCACAUUAUUAUUCAGAUUAUUAAAUAUAAACUUAUUUGAAAUAGAUUUACUCUUUGUGUGUGUUUCUCUACCGAUUCGCUGUGGGGAUAGAUACUCCAAGCAACCCCAAAACAACCAACUUCUUCUUAACUCUCCCAAUUAGGGCCCCACUUGCCUAACCACUCUAUCCCAAAUAAGAGAACACCAUCUUCCAGCCGCUGCGAAGGGUAAAAGAAAAGGAAAUAAGAACGGCUACAAUAGCGCAGUACUAUUCACAGUACAUUACCCAGAAAAUAAAAUCAUCCACACCACAAACAGCCUCUAUCCUUGCCUAUUCCAAACAGCACCCUAUAUUUUACACAAACGCAGCCUUAAAUCUAACCCUGUUCAUCAUCCCAAAAACAAAACCCCAACCAGAAAAAAAAAAUAGCCAAACAAUAUUACCAAACCACAACCCUAGCUGCCAAUGCUAAACCCAUUUUGUCCCUGCUUCAGCAAACAGCAGCAGCCCUUGUCGGAAACAAACAGCCGCUACCUCCAGCCAGCCACCAACCCCACCUCCAUUGUGUCAUUGUCUCGGUGAACCAGCCACACAUCUCACUGGAAAAAAAAAGAAGAAAAACACAGAGGAAGAGAAAAAUAAUAACCUCACUGCCAGAUGCCGUUGCUGCCUUUAGCACUUGCUGCCAUUGCUCUGCUUGUCUCCGUUGUUGAUCCUUUCAUUUCAUCAUCACCAGCUUCCUCCCGAUUGCCUUUUGCAGCUUGCCUGAGUAUGUUCUUAGCUUGAGUCUAUUAACAGGGCUUUUGUUUAACUUAGACAAAUUAUUUUUUGAUUCCCAUAUGUUUUCAUUUUUCAAGUAUUUCUCCUUUAAGUUUUAAAGUUUACAUUUAGGUCCCUGAACUUUUUUGUUUAUAUUUUUUUGGGAACAAUCAUCCCUGAGUUUUCAUUUUGGCACUCAGACCCGGAGUUUCUGUCAUUUCAAUUAAGCCCCGACUUUGUUAUUCUGUUUUCUUUUUAUGGUUAGGUCCC